GUACACGCUGUGACUAGCAUAUCAAUAAGCGGAGGAAAAGAAACUAACAAGGAUUCCCCUAGUAACGGCGAGUGAAGCGGGAAGAGCUCAAAUUUGAAAUCUUAAAGGGUUUCCCUUUACGAAUUGUAGUUUAAAGAAGUGUUUUCUGUUGAGGUUUUGGUAAAAGUUCUUUGGAAUAGGACAUCAUAGAGGGUGAGAAUCCCGUAUUUGACCUUUACUUUCAACUUUGUGAUACACUUUCAAAGAGUCGGAUUGUUUGGGAAUGCAGUCCAAAAUGGGUGGUAAAUUUCAUCUAAAGCUAAAUAUUGGCGAGAGACCGAUAGCGAACAAGUACCGUGAGGGAAAGGAUGAAAAGAACUUUGAAAAGAGAGUUAAACAGUACGUGAAAUUGUCAAAAGGGAAGCGUUUGACACCAGUGUUGUUUUUCUGAAAAUCAAUUAAAGAACUGUUUAUGCUAAGUUGUUUAGACUUUAUCAGCUAACUGUUUAGUUUUGAGCUUUUCUUUAAUGCACUUUUCAGUUAACAAGUCAACAUCAAUUUCUUUUGCUGUAAAAAAGCUUGAGGAAGGUGGCUUGAGAUUCGUCUUAAGUGUUUAUAGCCUCUUGCCUAUGCAGUCGGAGAGAUUGAGGUCUGCAGCGUAGAUCCUUCGGGGCUAAAUGCAUUUGUGCUAAGUUAUAGCAUUUUAUAGACAACUUGUUGACUAUGAUUUGUCUUGUAGCUUACUCGCUUAUGUUAUUUUACCUACGCUUAGGAUGUUGACAGCAGUAUAGACUGU
Molecule: ribosomal RNA, 775 nt
Filed under: uncultured Neocallimastigales
Lineage: Eukaryota; Fungi; Neocallimastigomycota; Neocallimastigomycetes; Neocallimastigales
Description: partial large subunit ribosomal RNA
Rfam family: Eukaryotic large subunit ribosomal RNA
Source: RNAcentral